RNAcentral lists this ribosomal RNA (994 nucleotides) under uncultured bacterium. Its description in RNAcentral is "bacterial SSU rRNA". It matches the Rfam family "Bacterial small subunit ribosomal RNA", at positions 356 to 1375 of the family's 1533-position model. The record is from RNAcentral.
GGGGAAUAUUGGACAAUGGGCGAAAGCCUGAUCCAGCGACGCCGCGUGAGCGAUGAAGUAUUUCGGUAUGUAAAGCUCUAUCAGCAGGGAAGAAAACGACGGUACCUGACUAAGAAGCCCCGGCUAACUACGUGCCAGCAGCCGCGGUAAUACGUAGGGAGCAAGCGUUAUCCGGAUUUAUUGGGUGUAAAGGGUGCGUAGACGGGAAAUUAAGUUAGUUGUGAAAUCCCUCGGCUCAACUGAGGAACUGCAACUAAAACUGAUUUUCUUGAGUACUGGAGAGGAAAGUGGAAUUCCUAGUGUAGCGGUGAAAUGCGUAGAUAUUAGGAGGAACACCAGUGGCGAAGGCGACUUGCUGGGCCAUCACUGACGCUGAGGCACGAAAGCGUGGGGAGCAAAUAGGAUUAGAUACCCUAGUAGUCCACGCCGUAAACGAUGAAUACUAAGUAUCGGAAUUUUCGGUGCUGAAGUUAACGCAUUAAGUAUUCCACCUGAGUAGUACGGUCGCAAGGCUGAAACUUAAAGGAAUUGACGGGCACCCGCACAAACGGUGGAGCAUGCUGUUUAAUUCGAAGAUACGCGAAGAACCUUACCUAGGCUUGACAUCCCACUGACCGUCUUGGAAACAAGAUUUUCCCUUCGGGGACAGUAGUGACAGGUGGUGCAUGGUUGUCGUCAGCUCGUGUCGUGAGAUGUUCGGUUAAGUCCGACAACGAGCGCAACCCUCGCCCUUAAUUGCUAACAUUUAGUUGAGAACCUUAAGGGGACUGCCGGUGAUAAACCGGAGGAAGGUGGGGAUGACGUCAAAUCAUCAUGCCCCUUACGUCUUGGGCUACACACGUGCUACAAUGGCUACUACAAAGGGCAGCGAAGCCGCGAGGCAGAGCGAAUCUCAAAAAAGUAGUCUCAGUUCGGACUGUGGGCUGCAACCCGCCCACACGAAGUCGGAGUUGCUAGUAAUCCCGAAUCAGCAUGUCGCGGUGAAUACGUUCCC